GGUAUUUUGACCGUGCGAAGGUAGCGUAAUCACUUGUCUUUUAAAUGUAGACCUGUAUGAAUGGCAAAACGAGGGCUUAACUGUCUCCUCUAUUCAGUCAAUGAAAUUGAUCUCCCCGUGCAGAAGCGGGGCUAAAAACAUAAGACGAGAAGACCCUAUGAAGCUUUAGGCGAAAGACAGCUCACGUUAAAACCCCUAGAAAAAAGACAAAACAUAAUGAUAUCUGUCCUGAUGCCUUUGGUUGGGGCGACCGCGGAGAAAUAAAAAUCCCUCCACGUGGAAGAUAACACAGUUAUUUAAAUCAAGAGCUACAGCUCUAAUUAAUAGAACUUCUAACCUAUAAGACCCGGCAAUGCCGAUUAACGAACCAAGUUACUCUAGGGAUAACAGCGCAAUCCCCUUUUAGAGCCCAUAUCGACAAGGGGGUUUACGACCUCGAUGUUGGAUCAGGACAUCCUAAUGGUGCAGCCGCUAUUAAGGGUUCGUUUGUU
This 491-nucleotide ribosomal RNA is filed under the name Apistus carinatus (ocellated waspfish). RNAcentral's name for it is "partial 16S ribosomal RNA". It matches the Rfam family "Bacterial large subunit ribosomal RNA", at positions 1935 to 2581 of the family's 2925-position model. The record is from RNAcentral. Lineage: Eukaryota; Metazoa; Chordata; Actinopteri; Perciformes; Apistidae.